This 249-nucleotide unclassified non-coding RNA is filed under the name uncultured bacterium. RNAcentral describes it as "contains 16S-23S intergenic spacer region". It matches the Rfam family "Bacterial small subunit ribosomal RNA", at positions 524 to 776 of the family's 1533-position model. The record is from RNAcentral.
GACGGGGGGGACCAGUGUUAGUCGCAUUGAUUGGGCGUAAAGGGUGUGUAGGCGGCUCUUUUGAACCUAUCCUAAAUUCCACUUCGAAUGUGGCAUGGAUUUGUUAUCGUGGGGCUAGAGUGGUGGAGAGGAAGGCGGUACCGACCUUUUAGGUUUGAUGGCCUGCGAGAAGUGCGGGACCCUCAUCGGCGAAGGCGGCUAUCCAUCUAUCACUGACGUUGAGGCACGGAGGCGUGGGGAGCAAACGGG